UACGGAGGGUGCAAGCGUUGUCCGGAAUCAUUGGGCGUAAAGCGCGCGUAGGCGGCCCCGUAAGUCCGCUGUGAAAGUCAAAGGCUCAACCUUUGAAAGCCGGUGGAUACUGUGGGGCUAGAGUCCGGAAGAGGCGAGUGGAAUUCCUGGUGUAGCGGUGGAAUGCGCAGAUAUCAGGAGGAACACCAAUAGCGAAGGCAGCUCGCUGGGACGGUACUGACGCUAAGGCGCGAAAGCGUGGGGAGCGAACAGG
RNAcentral lists this ribosomal RNA (253 nucleotides) under uncultured bacterium. RNAcentral's name for it is "partial 16S ribosomal RNA". It matches the Rfam family "Bacterial small subunit ribosomal RNA", at positions 524 to 776 of the family's 1533-position model. The record is from RNAcentral.